GGCCUAACACAUGCAAGUCGAGCGGUAGCACAGGGAGCUUGCUCCUGGGUGACGAGCGGCGGACGGGUGAGUAAUGUCUGGGAAACUGCCUGAUGGAGGGGGAUAACUACUGGAAACGGUAGCUAAUACCGCAUAACGUCUUCGGACCAAAGAGGGGGACCUUCGGGCCUCUUGCCAUCAGAUGUGCCCAGAUGGGAUUAGCUAGUAGGUGAGGUAAUGGCUCACCUAGGCGACGAUCCCUAGCUGGUCUGAGAGGAUGACCAGCCACACUGGAACUGAGACACGGUCCAGACUCCUACGGGAGGCAGCAGUGGGGAAUAUUGCACAAUGGGCGCAAGCCUGAUGCAGCCAUGCCGCGUGUAUGAAGAAGGCCUUCGGGUUGUAAAGUACUUUCAGCGAGGAGGAAGGCAUUGUGGUUAAUAACCGCAGUGAUUGACGUUACUCGCAGA
RNAcentral lists this ribosomal RNA (449 nucleotides) under uncultured Gammaproteobacteria bacterium. RNAcentral describes it as "bacterial SSU rRNA". It matches the Rfam family "Bacterial small subunit ribosomal RNA", at positions 45 to 485 of the family's 1533-position model. Lineage: Bacteria; Pseudomonadati; Pseudomonadota; Gammaproteobacteria. The record is from RNAcentral.